ACAUGGCCCCUGGAUUGGACUGCGGCCGAUCAGGCUGUUGGUGAGGUAAUGGCCCACCAAACCUAUAACCGGUACGGGCUCUGAGAGGAGAAGCCCGGAGAUGGGCACUGAGACAAGGGCCCAGGCCCUAUGGGGCGCAGCAGGCGCGAAACCUCUGCAAUAGGCGAAAGCCUGACAGGGUUACUCUGAGUGAUUUCCGCUAAGGGGAUCUUUUGGCACCUCUAAAAAUGGUGCAGAAUAAGGGGUGGGCAAGUCUGGUGUCAGCCGCCGCGGUAAUACCAGCACCCCGAGUGGUCGGGACGAUUAUUGGGCCUAAAGCAUCCGUAGCCGGUUCUGCAAGUCUUCCGUUAAAUCCAGCCGCUCAACGGAUGGGCCGCGGAGGAUACUACAGGACUAGGAGGCGGGAGAGGCAAGCGGUACUCAGUGGGUAGGGGUAAAAUCCUUUGAUCCAUUGAAGACCACCAGUGGCGAAGGCGGCUUGCCAGAACGCGCUCGACGGUGAGGGAUGAAAGCUGGGGGAGCAAACCGGAUUAGAUACCCGGGUAGUCCCAGCUGUAAACGAUGCAGACUCGGUGAUGGGCUAGCCUUGUGCCAGCCCAGUGCCGC
RNAcentral lists this ribosomal RNA (606 nucleotides) under uncultured Thermoprotei archaeon. RNAcentral describes it as "bacterial SSU rRNA". It matches the Rfam family "Archaeal small subunit ribosomal RNA", at positions 196 to 804 of the family's 1478-position model. The record is from RNAcentral. Lineage: Archaea; Thermoproteati; Thermoproteota; Thermoprotei.